Drosophila melanogaster (fruit fly) is the source of this 140-nucleotide small nucleolar RNA. NCBI's taxonomy places the organism in Eukaryota, Metazoa, Arthropoda, Insecta, Diptera, Drosophilidae. The record is from Ensembl.
UGGUCUACUCUAAUGCUUGGCAUUGUACUACCAAAAUGCCUGGCCUCGCUUGUAGACCAGAUCGAGAACCACGUUCGGCACUCGGAUUAACCCAAGAAUUGAGCUUCGAAAUAGCUCUUUUCUUCCUUCUAGUGACACAG